Molecule: small nucleolar RNA, 93 nt
Filed under: Jatropha curcas
Lineage: Eukaryota; Viridiplantae; Streptophyta; Magnoliopsida; Malpighiales; Euphorbiaceae
Description: Small nucleolar RNA snR60/Z15/Z230/Z193/J17
Rfam family: Small nucleolar RNA snR60/Z15/Z230/Z193/J17
About the family: The members of this family belong to the C/D class of snoRNAs which contain the C (UGAUGA) and D (CUGA) box motifs. Most of the members of the box C/D family function in directing site-specific 2'-O-methylation of substrate RNAs.
Source: Rfam by way of RNAcentral
AUGGGUCAAAUGAUGAUUUUAAGCAUAGUUCAACUGACAAUCCAAUGUGAUUAUUAAACUUUUUUGGUCUUUCGCUCCUAUCUGAUGACCCUU